Molecule: non-coding RNA, 502 nt
Organism: Protopterus annectens (West African lungfish)
Lineage: Eukaryota; Metazoa; Chordata; Ceratodontiformes; Protopteridae
Source: the annotation of a RefSeq genome assembly
GUUAUGCACUUGAAUGUGUGCAGAUUCUCAUAAACUAUUUGUGGUGGAAACCUGCACAGAUAUAACAUGACUAUGUGGAUUUUUUCUGCUUACAUACUUUUUUUGCUGCCAUAUGAAAUCUGUUGUGGUGAAUCUGUGAACCAGACAGUUGCUUCUAUAACUGCGUAUGAAGGACAAACUGUUACCUUAGACUGCCGUUAUGAUACAGGUGGCUAUCCUAACCUGUUCUGGUAUGUGCAGGAUUUACACAGACAUCCUGAAUUUUUACUUCAAGAAAUCUCACAACCUGAGAACUAUCCUGCUAGGAUCCGUGGAAGAGCAUCGGUUGUGCUACAUAAAGGGAACAAAAGCUUCCCACUCACUCUGUCAAGGCUAAGGCUGUCUGAUUCUGCUGUGUAUUUUUGCGCUCUGAGUCCCACAGUGUGUAAGAAUUAACAGAAGUCUGUUUACAAAUACUGACUGUGUGUCAGCAGAUGGUGUCACUUCCCUGCAGUAAAGAAGU